ACCUGGUUGGCUCAGUGGUUGAGCAUCUGCCUUUGGCUCAGGGCAUGAUCCAGGGGUCCUGGGAUCGAGUCCCACAUCAGGCU
RNAcentral lists this transfer RNA (83 nucleotides) under Canis lupus familiaris (dog). It matches the Rfam family "tRNA". Rfam says of the family: Transfer RNA (tRNA) molecules are approximately 80 nucleotides in length. Lineage: Eukaryota; Metazoa; Chordata; Mammalia; Carnivora; Canidae. The record is from Rfam by way of RNAcentral.